AAUACAGUUUCAUGUAUUGGUCUAAUGUACUGUUUGCUCGGCCGGCCGGCGGGUGGCGGCAAUCUGAAAUGGAAUGAAGCCAAUUCACGGCAGACAGCAGAAAAACAGAAGCCGAAUAAGUCCACCCACCCGACCCGGACAAACUACAAGUACACAAGCUUUGUAACAGGUUCUGGGGCAUGUCUCUAGUUGAAGUUGUAGUUUUAAAAUAUAUUUGUAUUUUUCUCAUAAGUAGAAGUUGGCAGAGUAGAAUUUUGGAUAUACCCUGUUUUUCUUUUGGGAUGGGGAACACACUGGUGUCAUCAGAUAAAAAAAAAAAAAAGAUAUGUUAAAUAAUUGAAAUAGCUUAUUACCAUAUUUGACAGUGGUUACAGUGGGUAAACAUUGGUGACCAUAUCUAUAUGACAGCUAAGAUCCAGAGCUUUCUAUAACAGCUGGUUCUAUCCCAUGAACAAGACGUA
This is a long non-coding RNA of Etheostoma cragini (Arkansas darter), 461 nucleotides long. RefSeq lists it as uncharacterized. NCBI's taxonomy places the organism in Eukaryota, Metazoa, Chordata, Actinopteri, Perciformes, Percidae. The transcript has 3 exons. The record is from RefSeq and is a predicted model, not a curated record.